GGAAGUAAAAGUCGUAACAAGGUCUCCGUUGGUGAACCAGCGGAGGGAUCAUUACCGAGUUUACAACUCCCAAACCCCUGUGAACAUACCACUUGUUGCCUCGGCGGAUCAGCCCGCUCCCGGUAAAACGGGACGGCCCGCCAGAGGACCCCUAAACUCUGUUUCUAUAUGUAACUUCUGAGUAAAACCAUAAAUAAAUCAAAACUUUCAACAACGGAUCUCUUGGUUCUGGCAUCGAUGAAGAACGCAGCAAAAUGCGAUAAGUAAUGUGAAUUGCAGAAUUCAGUGAAUCAUCGAAUCUUUGAACGCACAUUGCGCCCGCCAGUAUUCUGGCGGGCAUGCCUGUCCGAGCGUCAUUUCAACCCUCGAACCCCUCCGGGGGGUCGGCGUUGGGGAUCGGCCCUGCCUUGGCGGUGGCCGUCUCCGAAAUACAGUGGCGGUCUCGCCGCAGCCUCUCCUGCGCAGUAGUUUGCACACUCGCAUCGGGAGCGCGGCGCGUCCACAGCCGUUAAACACCCAACUUCUGAAAUGUUGACCUCGGAUCAGGUAGGAAUACCCGCUGAGCUUAAGCAUAUCAAUAAGCGGAGGA
Molecule: ribosomal RNA, 589 nt
Filed under: Fusarium oxysporum
Lineage: Eukaryota; Fungi; Ascomycota; Sordariomycetes; Hypocreales; Nectriaceae
Also listed under: 1 other name
Description: eukaryotic LSU rRNA
Rfam family: 5.8S ribosomal RNA (bases 203-356)
Source: RNAcentral